Long non-coding RNA from Malania oleifera, 1738 nucleotides. RefSeq lists it as uncharacterized. Lineage: Eukaryota; Viridiplantae; Streptophyta; Magnoliopsida; Santalales; Ximeniaceae. The transcript has 2 exons. The record is from RefSeq and is a predicted model, not a curated record.
ACAGGCCCACUUUCAUUUCCCCAUCCUCCUAAAACCUCUCGAGCCAAAGUGGAUGUUGAUACGAUGGCUCUGCUGCCACCUCCUGUCGGCCACUACGUUCUUUUCUUUUUCUAAAAAUAUCUUUAAAUCCUCUCUCUCUCUCUCUCUCUCUCUCUCUGGUAACGGUGAAUGGCAUCGUAUUGCGGGGGUUUCAAGGAUUACUUCGCUGUAUCAAUGACGAGAUUUGAUUAUUCCCGCGGGGAAAGGGGGUGCUUUCUACAAAAUUAUAGUCUAAAUAGUCGAGAAGUUCGAUUUGGGCUGGAGAUUGACGAUGAGAGGUUUAUCUAGAAGUGGCUGUUGAUGUUCUUGGCUGCGAUGGUGAUGAGGAUGGCCAUGGAUUUUCCCAUUGUGAAAACGCAACUGUAGAUCGUUGGAUGCUUUGUGGAUUGACCUACCAGUGUGAUUGACUUGAAUAGGCUGGUAAAUGGCUUGAUCAAGUGAUCUUUGGCUGACUUGUUUGGAGGCCAAAAGAAGUGCUUUAUGAAUUCAAUAGGUGGAAGCAAACUUUGAUCUGUGACAGGUUGAUCACUAUGAGUGGUACAGGGAGGAUCACCAAGACCAGAAAAAAUGAGCGUCUUAAGGAACUUCAGGCAAAAAUUAAGGAACUCUAAACACUUGUGGUGGAGCUUUCCAAUGCUGAGGAUGUACCAGCAGAGCUUGAGACCACCCAUGGGAACACUAGAGGGACUGCGGAGCCACUUGAUGCCUUGGAAGGAUUGCUGAAAUGGAGACCCUUGUGGCUCAAAUAUAAUUUAGAGAACAGGAUAAUGCAGCUUGAGGCCUUUCAGAGCAGUAUUGAUUAAGUGGAUGCAUUUGGGGCAAAAAUAAACGAGCUUGAAAUGAUGAUGCCUAGACUAACUUCUCUUCAGGGACAACUAAAAGAGGUGGAGGCCACUGAACAACGUAAGCUUUCUGAAAAUUUUGAUAUGCUUGCUCGUAACGUCAAAGAAUCCACAAGCUUCUUCAAUGAGAGAUUGAAUGAGUGGACAAAUGAAUACAUAGGCUCAACUCCAAAGCCAAGUGCAAGAGUUGGAUUGAAUAUGACUAAGCAAAUGGUAACAAGUUGGAGGCGAAAGUUGAGAUGGAGAAGCUGAAAUUGCCACGGCCACAGGCUUCUGGGGGUGCAGGAUAUGGCAAUACGGUGGAUGAUUUUCUCUUUGACUUAGAGAUGCAUUUCAAGGCAGCUAGAAUCGAAACUGACAAGGCAAGAGUGGCACUGGCUUUCAUAUAUCUCAUUGGUGAAGCGAAGGCAUGGUGGAGAAGGAAAUACGAAGACAUCCAAAACCACCAAUGCACUAUGAAGUACGAACAAUUGGGAAGACUUGAAGCGGGAACUUGUGGCACGUUUCAGUCCCGUGUCUAGUGAUUUGGCCCCCACCUUCAACAUAUCCACACUUGGGUCCCAGUGGAAAUUGAAAUUGUGACUGAAUUGUUGGGUGUCUUAUGUAUUUUGAGCAAUUGAACAUUAAUGGUGUUGAGUGUGAUUGUGUGUGAGAAUAAAAUUAAAUGCAUAGAGUACGUAGUAAACUGAAAGAGGAGGUGAGGGCAGGCAUAUCUGCUUGUGCUUGUUCGAUCACUGUGGUGCCUUAAUUCCUUUUAUUUUUCUUCCUAUCCCAAACAUUGCUCAGAGUUUUUAACUACAUGUCUCUUUGUGAAUUUGGCAUCCCUUCUAUGGAUUAAUGUUGACUGAUUUUCCACA